GACAGAGGGUGCGAGCGUUGUCCGGAGUCACUGGGCGUAAAGCGCGCGCAGGCGGCAACCUCAGUGUCGUGUGAAAGCCCCCGGCUCAACCGGGGGAGGCCAUGGCAAACUGGGUCGCUCGAGCUGCGGAGAGGCCCCUCGAAUUGCCGGUGUAGCGGUGAAGUGCGUAGAGAUCGGCAGGAAGACCAAGGGGGAAGCCAGGGGGCUGGCCGCAGGCUGACGCUGAGGCGCGACAGCGUGGGGAGCAAACAGG
Molecule: ribosomal RNA, 253 nt
Filed under: uncultured bacterium
Lineage: Bacteria
Description: partial 16S ribosomal RNA
Rfam family: Bacterial small subunit ribosomal RNA
Source: RNAcentral